RNAcentral lists this transfer-messenger RNA (87 nucleotides) under Pseudomonadota bacterium. RNAcentral describes it as "partial transfer-messenger RNA". It matches the Rfam family "transfer-messenger RNA", at positions 1 to 86 of the family's 374-position model. Rfam says of the family: Bacterial tmRNA, also known as 10Sa RNA or SsrA, is named for its dual tRNA and mRNA-like properties. Its role is to liberate the mRNA from a stalled ribosome. Lineage: Bacteria; Pseudomonadati; Pseudomonadota. The record is from RNAcentral.
GGGGGUGCACUGGCUUCGACGGGGGUCGCGAAAUCACUUGGCGCAUGCCGAGGGGGUAGCUUUCCUCGUAAAUCCAGCUGCAAAACU